This 347-nucleotide unclassified non-coding RNA is filed under the name Hevea brasiliensis (rubber tree). The record is from RNAcentral. Lineage: Eukaryota; Viridiplantae; Streptophyta; Magnoliopsida; Malpighiales; Euphorbiaceae.
UCCGUGAUUUGGUGAAAACCGUUCCUUUGCCAGGUGAUGACCAACAUUAAGCUGCAAUCACAUAUGGAACGGUAUUGAUAUGAUCAAGAGGCAGCAACAAUGUCACACGGUAAUAAUAGAAAUGUAAAUAAAUUCUUGCUGCUGUGUCUGGCAUGUAUAAAGCUUUUUUACCUGAAAAUUAUGUAUGAAACUUUUCUUAUGCAAAGCCGUGUCUCAAGGGGCUGUUGCGAAUAACUUGAGCUUUCUUAUUCCAGUUCGAGAAUAAUUUGGGGAUAAUCCUGUAUUAUGCUGACAAGCUUCUCUUGCGUUUUUUUGUUUUCUUCUUUUUUUUAAGAGACUUUUUUUUU